RNAcentral lists this long non-coding RNA (375 nucleotides) under Bos mutus (wild yak). Its description in RNAcentral is "lncRNA (ENSBMUG00000009861.1)". The record is from RNAcentral. Lineage: Eukaryota; Metazoa; Chordata; Mammalia; Artiodactyla; Bovidae.
CGUCACGCUCUUUUGUCUCGGUUAGCUGAGGAUAAAAGCUGCCGCGGCUGCCGGGGGGACCGGGCCUGGUUUGGCGGAGAAAAAAGCCCGCCUCGGCUGCCGUGGGAACCGUGCUGUCUCGACUCGGCUACCAGUCUCAGCGCGGCAGUGCAAAGCAGCUUCAUCGGGUGGUCCCGGCUAGCUCAGCGGCUGAGGAGGCGCCCAUCCUUUUCCCCUGUAGGACCGCGGAGACCGAAGGCGGAGACGCAGCUGUCAACGCCAGAGCGUCCGCUGCCCACCAGCCCAACACAGGCCACCAGAACCGAAGCUGAACUUGAAUUCCGUGCGGCUGAUUACAGAGCUGCCCUCUGCGGCGGCGCAGUCUUGACGCCCUAA